Long non-coding RNA from Ictalurus punctatus (channel catfish), 11846 nucleotides. NCBI's taxonomy places the organism in Eukaryota, Metazoa, Chordata, Actinopteri, Siluriformes, Ictaluridae. The record is from Ensembl.
GAAAUAUGGAUGUCAUCUUAGAUUGGUGCUGAAAUUAAAAACUUAGUAGAUUCAGACUCAAACUGAGACGCUGCAUCAGGAGAUCAGUUUAAUGUAUGCAGUCUUUGGUUGAGGAAAAGAGGGUGGGGGUUUGCACCCUGUCUGAGACCCUCUCAAUAAGCAGAAGGGGGCUUCUAAAGGGUGCGUCUACCCACCAAGAAGGGGUGAUGGGCAUUUUUUCAAAGAGGAGGGGAGGUUGCAAGGCCUCAGUUGAGCCUGUCGCGCCUGAUGUCCCAUUAGGAACCGGGAGCAUGGCUGGGGGAAACUGGUUAAACCCCCCCUGCCUCCCAGACUGUUAUUUAAAACAGGCGGUUGGCGGCAUACUAAUUCUCCUCCACACACUUAUGAAUCAAACCCAUAAAAUAAAGGAGGCACAGGAGACAUAUAUUACCAGAGCAAUUAAAUAAGUACUGCUUAUUGGGAAUGGGGUUUUACUGUUUCAGAGGUUGGAUACCAGCAUGGGUUUCAGCUUGGCGCCCUUGAAUAUAAUGAUCAACAUAACAAGGAGCUGAAUUUGUAUUCUUACACUUCAAAAAGACGUAAUAGCAAAAUUUCAUAUUUCAACCUGAUCAAGCACUAUAAUGUUGUUACGUUACUGUCUAAUUUAGUUUCUUUUGGGAAAAUACAUUUCUGAAUUUUUUUGGGAAAUGUUUGAAAAAACAGAUCCUUGGUGACAUGGUCCAGCACUUGUGCUAUGUAUGUGGAAGACUGCUAUUUUUUGAGAAAUGUGUCAAUGUGGCUACAACGGAGUGAGUGUUUGUGUCAGCUGGUUGUGGACGCACAGGUUUUGAAGCAGGACAGUCUGUUCAUUUUCUGAGACGUUUUGUCCUGUUGGUCUGCCUGCCUGAAGUUCGGUAUCAAUCCAGGAAAGACAGCAGAAGGCACAUUAAAAAUAAAUGGUAUCUGAUCACAGCCCUCCUGAAUGAAGAGAUCUGACCAUGUGACCAAGUGACCAGAACUGAGACUGGGAGCUAAAAUAAACUCUUGGACUAGAAACGGCAAGACUAUUUUAGCAUGAAACUGAAUAUAGUGCUAUCUAGUCAUCUGCAUUGCUUGUCCAUGGUCAGUUAAGAAAAUCCACUUACCAGAACACCUGUACACCUGCUCAUUCAUGCAAUUAUCUGAUGAGCCAAUUGUCAGGCAGCAGCACAAUGCAUAAAAUCAUGCAGAUACAGGACAACAUCAAACAUUAAGAAUGGAGGGAAAAUGUGAUCUCAGUUACUUUGACCAUGGUAUGGUUGUUGGUCCCAUAUGGGCUGGUUUGAGUAUUUCAGAAACUGGUGAUCUCCUGGGAAUUUCAUGUGCAAUCAUCUCUAGAGUUUACCAAGAAUUGUGCAAAUAUAUAUCCAGUUAGUGGCAGUUCUGUGGGCCAAAAUGCUUUGUUGAUCAGACAAGUAAAUACAUGGUUUGAGCUAACAGGAGGACUAUGGUAACUCAAAUAACCACUCUUUACAACCAUGAUGAGCAGAAAAGCAUCUCAGAAUGCACAACACCUAAAAGUGGGCUACAACAGCAGGAAUCUACAUUGGGUCCACUCCUGUCAGCCAAGAACAGGAAUCUGCUGCUACAAUGGCCACAGACUCUCCGAAACUGGACAACUAAAGACUGGAAAAAGACCAGCUGAUGUCAACAUUUUCUGAUGUUUGACAAGAACAUUAACUGAAGCUCCUGACCUGUAUCUGCAUGAAUUUAUGCAUCACACUGCUGCCAUAUAAUUGGCAAUUGGAUAAUUGCAUGAAUGAGCAGAUGUACAGGUGUUCCUAUUAAACUGGCUGCUGAUUGUAUAACAGUACAUUAUUCUAUAAAACUGAAUGAAGAAGAAUUUUAGCACUGCUGUAACAACAGUGCAUACCACUUGAUAAAUUAAUAAAGUAAAGAAAAUGAAGAUUAUAGUACCUUGUAUAGAUGAAAUUGUUGUUAGAUAAUACUUUAUUCUAUUUAAUGCUAUUUAAAAAGUUACUGUUUCUACACAUAUUGCCUCAACUCAUAGCUUCCGGUGGGCUCAUUGAUUAAUAAUUAUAAUAUUGAUAUUGUGAUAAAUUACAUCACAGUACAGUUUUCUCGAAAUAUUACAGGCUUCUUCAGGGGUUAUUACUCUGGCAAUAAUUGAAAAUACCACUGAAAGCGUAUUUUCUAAAUGCAGCAUUACUUUGCAUGUUAUGUAUCAUGAAAAGUUUCUUCAAGUAUUGCAAUAUGGCAUCUCUGUAAUAUCACCCACCCAUGAUAAUCAUAGAGAGUCCUAUCAAACCUUUAUGUCCACUCACUUUUGAAGUAGCCCCUGUGGCAAGAGGUGUUACAGCAAAGCCUUUAAUAAAUGUUUCAUGGAUAUUAAAGCGUGUAUCCUUUCAUACUCAAUAGACCUGAUAAGAGAUUCAGCCUCUUUUUAAGGUGGUUUUCCAUACAACUUUUCAGCCAUUACAAGUUUAAUUAAGAGUAAUUAAGUGCUGUACAAGCUUUAAUUAUAUUAGGCAUAAUGUUAUUAUAAACCUGUAGUGGACACGGCCUGUCUAGCGUGAGGCUCCCGGUGCGAACUGAAUGAUAAUGCGACACAUAACCAAGUGGCAUCCGUAGCAAUAGAGACACAGUCCUUGAGCAAAUAGGUCUAUGGGACUUGUGCACACAGGGGUGUAUGUGUGUAUGUGUGUGUACGCUGGGAGGGUAAACACCGAUGAUCUAUUUUCGUUUUUUUUAUUCCAUAGUCACAAAGCUAUAUUCUCAGCUCAUAAGACGGUAGUGGCAGACCGACGACAGUGGAAACCUCACAGCUCUCUGCCUCCCCUUACACACACACACACACACACACACACACACACACACACACACACACGCACACACACACACACACACACACACACACACACACACACACACACACACACACACUGCAGGCUAUGUUGACACACACAAACACAAGGACCCAUGGUUCCAACCCCAUUGUAGCCUACAUCGUGCCUGACAAAAACGGCAAAAGCUAAGCAAAGGCCAUAAACACAGCUGGAUUGUGUCCAGUGUAGCUCAUACAGUAUAUACAUCCAACUCUGGAUCAUUUGAGGUUUAACGAUCCAGACGCUUCCCAGAUAUAUUUACAUUUAUAUAUAUAACAAUGUAUAAAUGCAGCUUUCACACUUCUUAUUCCUAGCAGUGAAAAUCCAACGGAGCUGGUGAUCGUGCUGUGACCACUUGCACUUGCAUGCAAAUUGUGCUACGUUGGCAGACAGAUUGCACUGUCGAGAAUACUUCAUACAUGAGAAUAUGAGAAAAAUGAGGUUAAUAUGUAAUUAGAGGAAAGGGAAGUGAUGAAUCAGUAGCUCUGCUGUAUAUUUAGCAUGCAACAAAUGUAGAUUAGUAAUUAUGUAAGUAUAAUAAUAGAGAAAAAAAACUGAAGGAAUUGAAAACACAUCGACAAAUAAUAAUAAUAAUAAUAAUAAUAAUAAUAAUAAUAAUAGAUGUAGUAGUAGUAGUAAUAAUAAUAAUAAUAAUAAUAAUAUUAGUAGUUGUAGUAGUAGUAGUAGUAGUAGUAAUAAUAAUAAUAAUAAUAAUAAUAAUAAUAAUAUGUUGUUGUUGUUGUUGUUGAGGUUGCUGUUGUUGUACUAUAAAAUAAGCUCUGCCAAUAUCACCUUCCAAAUAAUAAAGUAAUUAAUUCAAAGUAAUAAAUAGCAUAAACCGGAAAGGGAGAAAAGAGACUGAAGGGAUUGAGUGGGUUUGGCAAGGAGGAGGCGAAACCCCAGAGGCGGGCGAGUGUCAGCCCCAGCUGGGCGGACAUUUUGUUGGCAUGCUGAUAGGGACUUAAGCGGUGGGUGGGUGGGUGGGUGUGUGCCAGGCGAGAGAAUGAGCUGAGGCAGAAGGGAAAGAGAGAGAGAGGGGCGCUCACAAAAGUGCCGUCACUAAGCUUGAUUUCAGCAGGAGGAGCUGAGACGAUUAGGGGGGACCGGGAAGAAACGAUGGGGUGAAAGACGGGGGAACGCUCCAUUGAGACGCUGCCAUGGCUGCGAGAGGGGGAUCUCUCUUUCAGACGAGCUAAUGAAGCAUAUGCUGAGGUGAAUAAUGGAAUCUUCCAAAGGGUGGGCCGCUGUCUUCGUCCGCUAUUCACCAACUUGGUGCCUUUGGAGAGACGUGUCGUGACAGAAAGAGGGCCCUCCUCUUAAAGGGAUAUCAUUGUUUACACAGCAGGGGAGGACGGCACGAAUAAAAGCGAUGCAGAGACAAAUCGAACGUAAAACAAACCAUAAAACCGCACGUCAACCGGCUCUUACAGAACUCAGAUUUCUCUCUCUCUCUGUAGUCCGUUGGAAGACUGCAGCUGAAAUUACAUAACCUUGUAGAGAAAAUACUGAGAAUAGCAUGCACUGAUACCACAGUCGACGAGGAUUAGCCAAGAAUUGUCCCAGAACAACAGGGACGGGUUCGGUGUGCGUCAUCGAUAAUCACUUACGAUUACACAAAUAAGAGCAAACACAUCAGGGGGUGCAACCAGACAUGUCAUAGGACGGAGCAGACAGGAGCCCCCUUUGACCUUGACCCCUAGGGUCCUUCUUCACCUGCUGUUCAAUGGGGCUUCAUGAGCAGCUGGGCUGUCUAGUCAGUGCCUGACAGAAUAUUUUACACUUUCGUCUAUUCCCACGCUUGAUGAGUAGGUCGUCGCUGCAGGCGGGACUGGUGUUUAUGCAGCUGACAGAGAGGCAGCAGCCAUUUUUAGAACACUGGGAUGCAAAUAUUCGCUCCUCAUCAAGUAGACAACUUCUCCCCCAGACUGCUUCUCUUGGCCUGGAUGUGAACAAAACCAGCCUCUGGCAAACAACUAGCUCUUUCUGUGCAUGUGUGUGUGUGUGUGUGUGUGUGUGUGUGUGUUUGUCUUUUUUUUGGCUGUGUAUCUGCACCCCUCUCCUCUCUGUAAAUGGACAGACCUGGGUUAGGCUAAGGCACUGUGUUGUAAAGAGAAUUGUGCCGAGAGGAGGGUUCGGAGUGUUUUCAUUAUGGCUAAAUCUCAGACCUGACUCUUCAGCGUGGCCUGUGCCACCAAGCCGACAGUUUAAUCAUACAAACAGCACUCUGUUCCCAUUUCCGCCUCUCUCCUUCACACACUCCACUCCCCGCUUCAUAAUUCUGCACUCUACAUGCUCCCGCGCAAUGCCUGUGUUUUGGGGGCUUUAAAAUGACACAAUCAGUGACUUGGAUAAAUGUAUGACUGUUUUCCCUCAGACUGUAACCAGCCCCAGUGAACACAGGUCCUGAUUUUUAAAGAGGCAGCACUGUGGGGUUUUUUUUUUUAAAUCCUCUUUCUCCUUGCAUACCACUGAAGCUCUUUUAUAAUGGAAAAACGUCCAGACAAUGGAUAGUUCAUCUUAGGCAGAACUGCAUUAAAUAUCUCCUAUUAAGUCCAUACUGUGGUUACAAACCACACAGGAAAUUACUUCAGGUCACAUAUUAGAAAUACACACAAGUCUAUUAAUAGAAAACUGAACAGAUGGAGUGGCAGGCUCUACAUGUUUCCAGACCCCAUGGUUCAUACACAUCAUAGUUAUUAUAGCUUUAGCAUUUUAGAAGUGUACUGUCACAAGUGAGUGAACAAACAACAACUGACUUUUUUCAUAAGAAACACCAUUUGGCACACCUGUCAAAUAAUCCGUUCAAAAAUGUAUGAUUCGUAUCAAUUCCACACACAGCACUGACACGCUUUACUCAUUCAGGUCUGUUUUAGACAUCUAGCACACAGCAGAUCAAAUCACUUGUCAUACCAGGUGCAUAAAAAAAGGAAAAAGCAAAUGCAGCAAGGGUCGAAUUGAGCAAUGGCAAUAAAUGCAUUCAGCAACUAUUACUUCUGUGGGUGAACUACAUUCAAUCAAUAUCCAAGCAAAUAAAAGCACUGAGCACUCAGAGCUAAGGAACCCCUUGCACUGAAACACUGCAAAACAUUAAAUAUACGUGCCUCACAUUAUACUGAAGGGACGCUGAACUCAUGGGGUAUUUCUGCAGUGCAGCAUGGCAUAAAAAACUGGAUUAAGAAUUCUCAAAACAGCAGAUUCAUGUUUUGGAAAUGAUCUAAUAUAGUAAAUCUACAUUAAACCAAAUAUGUGUGUCAAUACAUCCUUUAUUCAACUACAAUCACCAUGCACUUUAUUUGGAACACCUGUACAUCUGCUCAUUUAUGCAGUUAUUUAAUCAGCCAUUCAUGUGGCAGCAGCACAAUACAAAAAAAAUCAGGUCAAGAGCUUCAGUUAAUGUUCAAACAUCAAACAUCAGAAUGAAGGGAAAAACUCUGAUCUCUGUGAUUUUAACCAUGGUAUGGUUGUUAGUGCCAGAUGAGCUGGUUUGAGUAUUUCUUAAACUGCUGAUCUCCUGGGGUUUUCACGCAAAACACUGUGUACACAGAAUGGUGUGAAAAACAAAAAUACAGAGUGAGUGACACUUUGUUGUUAAGAGAGGUCGGGGAAAAAUGGCCAAAUUGGUUUGAGCUAUCAGGAAGGAUAAAGUAAUUUAUAUAAUCACUCUUUACAACCGUGGUGAGCAGAAAAUCAUCUCAGAAUGCACAAAACAUCAAACUUGAGGUAGAUGAGCUACAACAGCAGAAAACCACAUCGGGUUCCACUCCUAUCAGUCAAGAACAGCAAUCUGAGGCUAUCAUGAGCAGAUUCACCCAAACUGGACAGUUGAAGAUUAGAAAAAAAAUGACCUGGUCUAUUUCUACUCUUGAUUCUGAUAUUUGAUGUGAACAUGUGAUUGGCUGAUUAGAUAACUGUUCCUAAUAAAAUCGACAGUGAGUGCAUACUAGGGGUUCUCAGAAACUCCCUUCAUCUGUAAAAUAAAUUUCAGCACAGAUUUAUUUUAUAAUUCCAAUUAUUCAAAUAUUCAUCUCAUUAUUCAAAUGUGCACAGUCAUAUUCUGGCUAUUUAUUGGAACCCUAGAUUUUUUCUUUUUACAUAUAUUCCUGAACUUUCCACUGACAGAACACAUUAUGUCCAAGUUGACAUUAUUUAUCAUCUGAGUAAUUGAGGUGUGGAUUAAUUCAAUUCAUGUAACCAUUCAAACAGGGUAAUCACUUAAUCACUAUAACAACUCAAUAAGAAAUAUAAUGACUUUUGAUAAUGGUGGAUCCUGUAACAGAAUAAAAAAGCUCCGGCGAGGCUUCACAGACCCCAUUUAGAGACCACAACACAAUACUGAUCAAUACUUAUAUGCAAUAUAAGGGUACUUACUAUGCUUAUACUUAUUAUUGUGCAAUAUGGACAUUUAAAAUCCAGUGGCUAAUACAAAUAAUCUGAUUUUUAAGAUUUCCAGCUGCUAACAAACUUCCACACAGACCAGGGCUUUUAAAAAUCCUUCACCCUUUCCUAUUGAAAUUAUUUUGGAACUCACACAAAGUUUCUUUUUAUGCACCUGUGGACAGAAAAUGUCAAGGAUCUGUCUGAAUCUUGCUAAAAGUGCGGAAACCCCUUAUUUUCAGGCCUCCUGACACUCUGCCCCCUUUGGGCUUGCUAACAGAAUUUACCGUAUUUGCUUCGCUGCCUGGCUUUGUGUUGAAUUAUGCAUAAUUGCACUAGUGUACUUGCACACAUAGCUACGAGCAUGAUUAGCAUAAAAGCUCUCUGUUUUUUGUUUCUUUAUAAAGGACAGUGGGGGUGGGGGGAUUUUCAAGACAUAAAGAAUGGCAAGUGAUUUGUGGUAAAUGUGCGUAAUGUGCGUAAUGUGUGUGUGUGUGUGUGUGUGUGUCUGUUCACAUAAAGAGAGUAAGUGAUGUAAAGUAAUCGUUCUGUAACGGAUUAUGUACAGUAAAGAGCUAGAUUACAUUUUGUCAUUUAGCAGACGCUUUUAUCCAAAGAUUAAAAUAUAUUAAUAUAUAAACUUAAAUAUAAACUGAGAAAACAAAUACAAUGCACAUGUGAAUCAUUUCAGCAUACUAAACUCCUGUGGGAGAAUGUUUUCAAAAUAAAGAUGUAUUACAUUUUAUUUUUGUGAGGUGUCCAUUCUUAAUUUUAGUUAUGCAAGUUAGACAAAUAUAUAUAUAUAAAAAAAUUAUCAUAAGCCAGUUUAGUUUGUCUUUAAAACACUGUAGAAAAAGUUGCAAUUGUUUCCCUUUUAAAGCCUUGGGAAUAUUAUUAAAUAAGCUACAUCCUCACAAUAUUUUUUAAAAUAAUGUGACAUUGCGGCUUUUCUAGGUUAAUGUAUUUAUCAUCGCAAUUAAAGGGCAACUUUCUAACAUGUUUAAUUAUGUCAUUAAGACAUUGGCUGAAUUGAAAAUAACAUUACUAAUAAAAGCAUUAGAGGUUUGGUGUGUUCACACUAAAUAAAUCAAUAGAAAAUGAAAGGAAAAGAUAAUCUCAAGUAUAAAUGGUUAAUUUGUGGAAUCCAUGCCAUUCCAUAAUAAAAGAAAAUGUUAUCCAACUGCCAUAAAAAUGAUAUUAUUAAUGAAAAGUCAAACAUCAAUUUCACUGACGAGAAUUCUCAAUCAGGAGAGUGAGACUGCUCGAAAUGUAGGCGUUAAGGCUUAUAAAUGAUCUCUUCUGUACAGCAGUCCUGUGAAAACAGUCUCAGUAUGAAGUUAAUGCAGUAUCAAUGCGGAACCAGAAAGCGGAGGAACCACAAAAUGCAAGGUGAAAGAACAAAUAUUUUUAUAAAACUCCAUGCUUGUUCUUAUUAAAUAUCCUUUACUGUUAUUCCAACAGCAAUUCAAAACCAUUUAUCCUUGACUGAAAUGUUUCCACAAACUCAUAGUACAUAACUGCAACUCAUAAUUGUAGAUGCCAGUUGAUCUGCUUAAACUGCUAGGGAUCAUGUCCCUGAUUGCCCAAUCUGCAGAACAGUAAUACACAUGUAAAGCGCUGUAUUGUAUGGAGGAACACAAUGUUGCCCGGUGAGAGUGUGUGUGUGAAGGGCGAGCAUUGCUGGGUCCCACGAUGCAGCAGCGCACCAAGGCCUAUGGUGGCGACUGCUACGCAUGCUAAUGAGGUCAUUAUGUGGGGCUGUGUGGAGUUGGGCCCUGCGACAGAGGGAUUUGAGUAGCACCGGCUAGUUCGACUAGCCCAGGCACAGAUGUCACAGAUGGUACAGUCGUCAGGUGCUUUGUGACUGGAAAAGCCACGUUUCUCUCAUUUAAAGCAACAGAAUGCUAACGUGGCUUAACAUAAGGACGAAUAAAUUGUAAAAUAGUACAAAAGACAUGAGUGGCAGGUACAUGCUCCAAAGUGCUCAAAAGCUGCUCACAAAGAUUUGUGUGUGUGUGUGUGUGUGUGUGUGUGUGUGUGUGUGUAUGUAUGUGUGUGGCUCAGUACAGUAACAGUUGGGCGAAUAUGCGAAUACAAUUAUAGACGAUUUACAUGCGGGCACUGAUUAAGCAGAUGGCUGGUGUUCAGAGUGGCGCCAUCUUGGGUAAAGGGACAGCUGGCAGAUGGUGGCGGCCAUUUUGUCAGUGGCGCUGCCAAGCUCAGACACUGCCUGGCAUGUGUGUAGAUGCUAUGCUGGCAUUCUUGUGCGUAAUUUACUGUGGGGGUUUGUACCCAGUACACUAACAGCACUUUAUAUAAUAUGCUGAUUAUAGCUAGGUUACAAAUAAAAUUACCCAAACAUGACAAACGCAGAUGUUAAACAAAGGAAAGGACACUGUGCUCAGUGCUUUAUUGCGGUUUUUGUGUGAGUUUGAUGAUUUUGUGAACCCAAGGGGAAGCCUGGCUUUCUCCCACAGCUGCUCCUUGAUGAAAUAUAGCAAUUUAACUAAGCACACAGGCAGUGUAUCUGGAAUUUACACAUCAUUCUGUGCAGAAGAUACUGACUGAAUUGUAACCAAUGAUUAAAACAGAUGAAGAACAGGGGUGCGCUUACCAUUUCAGAGGAUUAGACUCCAUCAUCUCCUGGCAAACUUCAUUCCUUAAAGAAUCCAUGGGGACAUGGCACUACCUUUAGCAACAUACACACUCCAUUCACCUAUGUUCGUUGUGUCUCAUGGAAGGAAAUGGAGCUUUCCUUAUCAGCUCUGGAUCAGGGAAUGACUGAAAACAGUGUGUGACAAACACUGGGAAAGUUUAUUGAGUCAUUUUGGUCCUAGUUUGGAGCUCAGCUCCAACUUUGCACUCCGUCUGAAUGGCAUCUUAUUAAAACCUGGUACUGUGGAGGUCCAGAAGUAUUGAAGUAUGUAGAAAAGAGUGCCAAGCCUCUUCAUGUGGAUUAAAACCAAAGCCUUUUUAGAAGCUCUCAAACAGUGGCGAGGAUUUUGAAAAAAUCAUCUAAUUUAAUCUACAACAGAAAAGGCGAAAAAAUGUCGUCCAAAAAAGACAAAAGUUCAAGUUGUCCUCUCUUGCCAGCUCAUCUGAUGUAGAGGCUUGGAGGAGGGCCUGAAAGAGGGAUUGUACGUCAAGCCCUCAUUCAAACAGUCGAUGGGAAUGUGCACUCACAGUAAAAAAGGAAUCGAGGAGAGGGAAAAAGACCUUUGACACUCUUUUUCUGUUCAUUCUCCCGCAGACAAAGUUUUAUCAAGUGGUGUUGGGACUGAAGGUCCCUCCAGCAGAACCACACACACACAUACACACUCUUGCUCUCACACAUGGUCCGCCUUUGGCUGAUGCAAGUUGACUGGUAAAGGGAGAGAUGAGCGCUUGUGAUCCCUUGGCACCAUGGCCCGGGGCUGCGUCGCCCGACCCCUGGCAGCCUCUUCCCUCCGUAUUGAUUGCUCUGCUGAGGAGCCUGUGCCCGGUGGGUGCAACUGCCCGCCUCUGCUGCCCACUCCGUUGAAGCCUGGCCGGCCCCUGCUGUCUCCCCGAGACCCCGAGACACAGAGCCGGAGCCUCAUGAGGAGAGGAAGAAGAGAGGGAGGAGAGGAAGAAGAGAGCCGGCGGCGGUCCACAGCUGUGUUCACCUGCUCUCAGUUCAGUCCUCCAUCAUCCCAUAUUCCUACUCCCACUCUCGGCUCGUUCUCUGCCUCCUGCCAGCAAACAACAACAGAUAGGGGGGAACAAAAAAAAAAAAAACAAGUUCAGCUUAACUUUCAAUCUGAGUGUCAAUCCGUGACUUUGAUCAGAAAGAUGUGUAAGGUGGAUGUUUUGGCAUCUUCUCACAGUUUGUAAGGUGAACUUUCUGACCUCAGAUUUUUAACAUGCUGAAGUUGAAGAUUUUUUGAGUUUAGGAUGUCAGACUGAAAGAAACAGCCUGCCAAGUGCACUUACUGCCACUACCUCUGAUGUUUCUUUGCUUGCAGUAAAAAGAGUUUUGGCCAAAAAUAUUGUGUGUUGUAAAUAGAAUAUAAAAAGACUAUAUUUCUGAAACAAAUUCCUUCUUCUUUUAGGCUGUGCGCAAAAUUAUUUCAAUUAUUUCAGAGGCCUGCUAUCAUGCAAAUGAUUGAGAGGGAUAGUUUGAUAGACUUCAGGGUCAAUUAUGUGCUUAAAAGCAUUCCUCCCUCUCCUAGCAUAAAAAAAACCCCAGAAACUGGUAAAUUAAAAAUAAAAAAAGAUGAAAAAAAGAAGUAAAUAAUUUUGAUAAGUUGUAGCAAGUGGUUCGGUGUUGGGGGAAAAGGGGGCAGCGCAGCUCAGAUGGGCAUGGGGUGGAACUGGGGUUGUGUCUCAGACACAAUAAUACUAUUCAUUGGGCUCAGACGUGGGUGUUAACUCCCCUCUGGCUGCGCACAAUGGUGCUCGGCGGCAUUGAGACAGCCCCAGUGAUACUGUUAGUUCAGGGCUGCGGUCGGCCGGCUGCGUGAGAAAGAGCCAGCAUUGUGUCCAUGCGGCAGAAUGGAUGGAGGGAGGCUUGAGAGGUGAAAGGCAAAGAAAGAGAGAAGGCGGGGUGGGGGGUUGGGGGCAACACAGAGGGGGUUGGAGGGAAAUGAG